Molecule: ribosomal RNA, 730 nt
Filed under: uncultured bacterium
Lineage: Bacteria
Description: bacterial SSU rRNA
Rfam family: Bacterial small subunit ribosomal RNA
Source: RNAcentral
GGUAGUCCACCCCGUAAACGUUGGGAACUAGUUGUGGGGACCGUACCACGGUUUCCGUGACGCAGCUAACGCAUUAAGUUCCCCGCCUGGGGAGUACGGCCGCAAGGCUAAAACUCAAAGGAAUUGACGGGGACCCGCACAAGCGGCGGAGCAUGCGGAUUAAUUCGAUGCAACGCGAAGAACCUUACCAAGGCUUGACAUAUACGAGAACGGGCCAGAAAUGGUCAACUCUUUGGACACUCGUAAACAGGUGGUGCAUGGUUGUCGUCAGCUCGUGUCGUGAGAUGUUGGGUUAAGUCCCGCAACGAGCGCAACCCUCGUUCUAUGUUGCCAGCACGUAAUGGUGGGAACUCAUGGGAUACUGCCGGGGUCAACUCGGAGGAAGGUGGGGAUGACGUCAAAUCAUCAUGCCCCUUAUGUCUUGGGCUUCACGCAUGCUACAAUGGCCGGUACAAAGGGCUGCAAUACCGUGAGGUGGAGCGAAUCCCAAAAAGCCGGUCCCAGUUCGGAUUGAGGUCUGCAACUCGACCUCAUGAAGUCGGAGUCGCUAGUAAUCGCAGAUCAGCAACGCUGCGGUGAAUACGUUCCCGGGUCUUGUACACACCGCCCGUCAAGUCAUGAAAGUCGGUAACACCUGAAGCCGGUGGCCCAACCCUUGUGGAGGGAGCCGUCGAAGGUGGGAUCGGUAAUUAGGACUAAGUCGUAACAAGGUAGCCGUACCGGAAGGUGC